Molecule: small nucleolar RNA, 131 nt
Organism: Mastomys coucha (southern multimammate mouse)
Lineage: Eukaryota; Metazoa; Chordata; Mammalia; Rodentia; Muridae
Product: small nucleolar RNA SNORA3/SNORA45 family
Exons: 1
Source: RefSeq, a predicted model, not a curated record
GCCGAGACUAGAGUCACAUCCUGACACGGUACUUGUCCUGGUGUGCUAGAGUUCUCGAAGAGAAUAUGCUGGUCUUGAUUCACCGGUAGGGGCCUUCGGUGUCCCUUCUAGUGCCCAGAUCAGAAACAUGG